Molecule: long non-coding RNA, 3200 nt
Filed under: Lactuca sativa (garden lettuce)
Lineage: Eukaryota; Viridiplantae; Streptophyta; Magnoliopsida; Asterales; Asteraceae
Description: long non-coding RNA (LSAT_LNC001635)
Source: RNAcentral
ACUGGGAUGGUGGUUGAUGAGGUGGGUUGCAAACUCCACGGCCGGUAUAAGGUUACCCAUGGACGGUGUUGCGAUGAUCGCUACCUCUGCUCGCCUCAUUUCUUGAACUUGGGGUUUUUCUCCGGCGACUAUGGGAAACUUCAUCAAUUGUAAUACAUACUCUGGAAUUUAGAUCGAUGGUAUUUAUUAUCUUAUAUUGGUACAUGCAAAUAUCAAAAUAUGUGUGGACUGAAUCACUUACGUGUUACGUGCUUUUGUUGUUUUGCGUUACAAAACUUUUAAUUUGCAUUUAAAAUUUAUGAAGUUUUCAACAUGCAAUAAAGAUUUUAGAAACUAACAAUUGCGUAUUAUAAUUGAUAAUUAAUAAUACACAAGUAUAUAUAAUGCAAAUAUGUUAAUUAAUUUAUUAUUAAAGAUAUUAAAAUUAAUAAUUUUUGUACAUUUAUAAUUAAACCAUUUAAAACAAAAUUUUUUCAACGUAACGCUUUUGAUCAUUAUGUGUAGGAUCAAAAAAAAAAAAAAAAAAAGUAAUAAAACCCAUAUAAAAAACAUGUUUUGACGUUGGUGUUGAAAAUGGCUCUAUACGUAUCGUAAAGCUAUACGGUAUAUGAGGGUACUAGGUUAUAACCGGUGGAAACCAUGAUCGGUAUAUUUAAAAUUUUUAUAUAGAUAAAAAAUAAUAAAUAUAAAAAAACAAAGAUAUCGUCGCUUGUAAGUAAUUAUGAGUUAAUUUGUUAAACAAAAUAAACAUAAUAAUGUUAUUAUGAUAUGAUUUUGUAUUUUCAAAAUUUGAAUUUGAAUUGAAUUUGAUUUGUUACCAUAAAAAAAAAAAUAAUAAAAAUCAUAGAAAAAUGUCACGUGUCAAAAAGACAUUCUAAAAAAUUAACACGUGUUAUUUUUAGGUUUUAUUUAUUAGAAAAGAUAGAUUAAUGAUAAGAUCAAUUCUCUAAAGAAUUCAAAAUUUUGUUCACCAUAGCGUUUCAAUGAUGUGUGUCAAGCAAAAAAGACAUCCAAAAACACAUGUAAAAAGAGGUUCAAAGUCAAUAGAACCCUUUCAAAGUGUUUGCUAAGAAGUUUUCCUUCCCACUUUAUUAAAUAUUAGGUUAUAACCCGUAGACACUACGGGUGAAAAAUAUUAAAAUAAUUCUUAACAAAAUUUUAUGGUAACUAUUGACCAAUAAUAAUAAUAAAAAAAAUAAUUUAUAAAUAUAGUUGUUUUGUCUGUAAGUUCAUAAUGAUAAUUCAUAACAAUAUAAUAAAAAAAAUUAGGGAUGUACCCCCGCGUCGCGGGGGCUAGACGAUAUUAAAUGAGAAAGCCUAGAAAAUAAAUAUAAGAAAUAAUCAUUUAACAAAUUCAACACAUAUAUUUGGAUAACUCUCAUGGCUACAAAUUCACCAUAAUAAUUGACUAAUUUAUUUUGAAUGCAAGGUGGAAAUGCGUCUUUGACUGAAAUAUAAUUGUACGCUUUCGAACAAAAACCAAGAGAGUGACCCCAGAAAUCUACAAACGUUUAGGAAGAUUAAAAAAAACUCCUCUAUAAUUUGGAUGAGUGAAAGAAUCUCAAAACCCUCAUCAACGCUACAAACAGUAAAUAAACAAAAGUAAGAUGCUAUUUCAUGCACCUUUGGCUUGCUACAAGAAGCAAUUCUAAAAUCUAAGAAGUUGUUCAAGUGAUGACAUUAUUUUCAUAUCCUUUGGAAAAACUUGGAUAACUGGUUUCUUGCCAUCAAAAGAGUCGGUCCAAGAUGUGGUAAAAUUUACAUGUAAAAUUCAGAAAGCGCAUAUAGUUUUCCCCUAAUUUUUAUUAGUAAUUCAUUAUUCCUUUUUCAUACAUGAGUGGUGUCUACAAGUGUCUUUUGGCACAUUAAAGGUUCAAUCUGAUGUUACUAUUAAAGAUGAAUAUAGAAGGUUAUUAAAAUAUAUGUAAUUGAUAUUUCAAAGUAACAUGCUCAAAUAAAAAGAAAAAAAUAAAAGUAAGAUGCUAUAAUAAACAUAUAACUGAAAAGUACAUUACUAUUUCUUUCCUUUAAUAAUGCCUUUUCACUUUUUUCCGACUUUUUAUAAAUUAAAGUUUUAGCGUUUACCUAACAAAAUCAAUCGAUUGUCAAUCUGAUUGCAAAAAUUAAAGAAAGCGUAGAUUCUUUUUUGAGCAGCUUGAUUAUUGACCUACUAAAAUUACAAAAAAACAACAUAUGAAAAGAGAUUCAACAACAACCUAGUAUGGUACAUAUGUAGCAUAAUCCCCAACAGAACCAUCCUAACUUUCAACAACAUAGACAAAACCAGUAGUACUCAUCUUAAUAGUGUUAACAAAAUGAAAUUGCAUGCAUUCAUGAUUUUUUUUCUUCAAUUACACACACACACACACACACACACAUAUAUAUAUAUAUAUUCAAUCUCACUAUGUUGUUAUUUUCUUCAUUAGGAUUUGAAUUUUUUUACAUGUGGACAACAAUAAGAUUUUGAAUUGUUAAUUUCCUUUUCCUAAUAUAGAGGAUAAUACAUACAAAAAGAAGGGAUGAUAAUAUGGUAACUACUUUUUUAUAUCUAAGUGGAUUAUUAAUCAUUAAAUUCCUUGUUUCAAAAUAAUGAAAAAAACAUGUAAGUUCUAUAAGUGCCUCAAUUACCAUUUUUACCCAAGACCGUUCACAAAAGGGACUUACAUAUUAACUUUUCCACCUUCACUGAAAAAACAAUUUUUUGAUGUACGUAAAGUUUACAUUUCAAGUUGAAAUCUCUAUUUGUAUACAUGUUAUUAACUAGUAUAAUUCAUAAGGUGUUAAAUCUUAAAAUGGCAACAUUAGAAAUAGGAAAUGUGGCAAAAAAGAAUCUAUGCGUAGAAAAGAAUGGUGUUCCAUUCCACUAAUUUAAAUUACACUAUAAAUUAAUGCGAGUAUGGAAAAACAGUAGUUCGGAGGUUGUUGAGUGUUUGUUUGAUUAUGGGUUUAUGAUUUUCUAUAUAACGAGAAAUAAACUCGAUGCCGGAGCUGUACUGAUCUGGCAGCGGCGAGUCAACAUGGUGGAGCUGGAUGAAUCGGAUUUGUUUGUUGGCGAUGCGUGAUUGGAUGUAGUCGUCGAGGAUUGGCCGUUGCGGCAUGGAGAUGGCGAGAAUUACGACGGAGAUAUGACUGGGAUGGUGGUUGAUGAUCGCUACCUCUGCUCGCCUCAUUUCUUGAACUUGGGGUUCUUCUCCGGCGAC